This 192-nucleotide ribosomal RNA is filed under the name Streptomyces sp. SID8455. RNAcentral describes it as "partial 16S ribosomal RNA". It matches the Rfam family "Bacterial small subunit ribosomal RNA", at positions 1 to 193 of the family's 1533-position model. Lineage: Bacteria; Bacillati; Actinomycetota; Actinomycetes; Kitasatosporales; Streptomycetaceae. The record is from RNAcentral.
CAUUCACGGAGAGUUUGAUCCUGGCUCAGGACGAACGCUGGCGGCGUGCUUAACACAUGCAAGUCGAACGAUGAAGCCCUUCGGGGUGGAUUAGUGGCGAACGGGUGAGUAACACGUGGGCAAUCUGCCCUGCACUCUGGGACAAGCCCUGGAAACGGGGUCUAAUACCGGAUAUGACCGUCCAUCGCAUGG